CGGCCGCAUCACGCUGAAACAACGGUUCCUGUACGAUCACCGAAAUUAAGCAACGUCGAUUCUGAUCAGUACCUAGAUGGGUGACCACUUGGGAAUACCCGGUGCUGCAAG
Molecule: non-coding RNA, 111 nt
Organism: Acanthosepion pharaonis
Lineage: Eukaryota; Metazoa; Mollusca; Cephalopoda; Sepiida; Sepiidae
Source: the annotation of a GenBank genome assembly